GACGAACGCUGGCGGCGUGCCUAACACAUGCAAGUCGAACGGAAAGGCCAUGCUCUUGCGGCGCGCUCGAGUGGCGAAGGGGGGAGAAACACGCGAGUAAACUGCCCCUGAAUUUGGGGUAUCUCUAGGAGACUGGGGAUAAUAUCGGAUAGAAUCUCUUGCUGCAUGGUGGGGGUUGGAAAGAUUCGGCGGUUGGGGAUAGACUCGCGGCUUACCAGCUUGUUAGUCUGGUAGUGGUGUACCACGGCUAUGAAGGGUAGCCGGCCUGAGAGCGUGACCGGCGACAUGAGGACUAAGAUACGGCCCAGACGCCUACGUGCGGCAGCGGUGGAGAAUAUUGCACAAUGGGGGGGAGCCAGAUGCAACGGCGCCGCGUGCGUGAUGCCGGGCUACGUGUGAUGAACCACUGUCUCCUGUGACGAAGCGUGAGUGACGGUAAUGGGUAAGGAAGCACCGGCUAACUACGUG
Molecule: ribosomal RNA, 468 nt
Filed under: uncultured bacterium
Lineage: Bacteria
Description: partial 16S ribosomal RNA
Rfam family: Bacterial small subunit ribosomal RNA
Source: RNAcentral